AUUGAACGUUAGCGGGAUGCCUUACACAUGCAAGUCGAACGGCAGCACGGAUCGUCUUGGUGGCGAGUGGCGAACGGGUGAGUAUGUAUCGGAACGUGCCCAGUAGCGGGGGAUAACUACGCGAAAGCGUAGUUAUACCGCAUACGCCCUACGGGGGAAAGCAGGGGAUCGCAGACCUUGCACUAUUGGAGCGCCGAUAUCGGAUUAGCUAGUUGGUGGGGUAACGGCUCACCAAGGCGACGAUCCGUAGCUGGUUUGAGAGGAGACCAGCCACACUGGGACUGAGACACGGCCCAGACUCCUACGGGAGGCAGCAGUGGGGAAUUUUGGACAAUGGGGGAAACCCUGAUCCAGCCAUCCCGCGUGUGCGAUGAAGGCCUUCGGGUUGUAAAGCACUUUUGGCAGGAAAGAAACGUCAUGGGCUAAUACCCCGUGAAACUGACGGUACCUGCAGAAUAAGCACCGGCUAA
This 470-nucleotide ribosomal RNA is filed under the name Achromobacter xylosoxidans. RNAcentral describes it as "bacterial SSU rRNA". It matches the Rfam family "Bacterial small subunit ribosomal RNA", at positions 30 to 500 of the family's 1533-position model. The record is from RNAcentral. Lineage: Bacteria; Pseudomonadati; Pseudomonadota; Betaproteobacteria; Burkholderiales; Alcaligenaceae.